UAGGUGGACAUCUACGGCAAUUGCACCAUUCUCACCUGCCAAUGAAGUCAGAGCUUUGGCUCCAGCACUUUCUUUUGGAGGCAGCCAGCCUUCCUCCCUCAUUUACUGACACUCUCUGUUCCUCCUCCCUGCAAGCCUUCCUAUGGAAACCAGCCUUGGUCAGCCAUGAGAGACACCCGUGUGGGAGUCACGUAACAAUGUCUGAUGGGGAUAGAAGAUGGUGGCAGUCCUGGCCCAGCCUUUGUAGUGAACCUUCCAACCUCCCCCAUCAGCAAGAAGCACUUUUUAUUCUUAAAGUAAGUGGCACAACGUUCUUGGUAAUCAAGAGAGACACUAAAACAAACCCAGACAGAAGAGCCAUCCUCUAAGACCACCAGCAGCACCCAGAAUGCCCCAUAAUUCUUCUAUCUGAAAUAGGAGGUCAUGUGUUACUAUUGAUAUAGCCUUUAUCAUUAAAGUUGGACAUUGCACUUCACCUCUCAGGAAACAUUAACUCAAAGGAACCACUACCACUCUGAACAGCAUGUGGUACAGCGGGUAGAGCCUGGGCCCUUGGAUCAGAAGAUAAAUAGGGUAUCUAUUUGCACAGAACUGCUAUUAGCUGAUGUUUUUACCCAGUCCAGAUGGGUGUAUAAUACUUCUUUCUCAUACAGGGAGACUGGGGAGAACCUUGUCA
RNAcentral lists this long non-coding RNA (676 nucleotides) under Mustela putorius furo (domestic ferret). RNAcentral describes it as "lncRNA (ENSMPUG00000032058.1)". The record is from RNAcentral. Lineage: Eukaryota; Metazoa; Chordata; Mammalia; Carnivora; Mustelidae.